GGGUUGUGAGGUUAAGCGACUAAGCGUACACGGUGGAUGCCCUGGCAGUCAGAGGCGAUGAAGGACGUGCUAAUCUGCGAUAAGCGUCGGUAAGGUGAUAUGAACCGUUAUAACCGGCGAUUUCCGAAUGGGGAAACCCAGUGUGAUUCGUCACACUAUCAUUAACUGAAUCCAUAGGUUAAUGAGGCGAACCGGGGGAACUGAAACAUCUAAGUACCCCGAGGAAAAGAAAUCAACCGAGAUUCCCCCAGUAGCGGCGAGCGAACGGGGAGGAGCCCAGAGCCUGAAUCAGUGUGUGUGUUAGUGGAAGCGUCUGGAAAGGCGCGCGAUACAGGGUGACAGCCCCGUACACAAAAAUGCACAUGCUGUGAGCUCGAUGAGUAGGGCGGGACACGUGGUAUCCUGUCUGAAUAUGGGGGGACCAUCCUCCAAGGCUAAAUACUCCUGACUGACCGAUAGUGAACCAGUACCGUGAGGGAAAGGCGAAAAGAACCCCGGCGAGGGGAGUGAAAAAGAACCUGAAACCGUGUACGUACAAGCAGUGGGAGCACAGAGCAAUCUGUGUGACUGCGUACCUUUUGUAUAAUGGGUCAGCGACUUAUAUUCUGUAGCAAGGUUAACCGAAUAGGGGAGCCGAAGGGAAACCGAGUCUUAACCGGGCGUUAAGUUGCAGGGUAUAGACCCGAAACCCGGUGAUCUAGCCAUGGGCAGGUUGAAGGUUGGGUAACACUAACUGGAGGACCGAACCGACUAAUGUUGAAAAAUUAGCGGAUGACUUGUGGCUGGGGGUGAAAGGCCAAUCAAACCGGGAGAUAGCUGGUUCUCCCCGAAAGCUAUUUAGGUAGCGCCUCGUGAAUUCAUCUCCGGGGGUAGAGCACUGUUUCGGCAAGGGGGUCAUCCCGACUUACCAACCCGAUGCAAACUGCGAAUACCGGAGAAUGUUAUCACGGGAGACACACGGCGGGUGCUAACGUCCGUCGUGAAGAGGGAAACA
This 994-nucleotide ribosomal RNA is filed under the name Escherichia coli. RNAcentral describes it as "partial 23S ribosomal RNA". It matches the Rfam family "Bacterial large subunit ribosomal RNA", at positions 1 to 1024 of the family's 2925-position model. Lineage: Bacteria; Pseudomonadati; Pseudomonadota; Gammaproteobacteria; Enterobacterales; Enterobacteriaceae. The record is from RNAcentral.